Molecule: ribosomal RNA, 241 nt
Filed under: uncultured bacterium
Lineage: Bacteria
Description: partial 16S ribosomal RNA
Rfam family: Bacterial small subunit ribosomal RNA
Source: RNAcentral
UGAUGCACGAAAGCGUGGGUAUCAAACAGGAUUAGAUACCCUGGUAGUCCACGCAGUAAACGAUGAAUACUAGCCGUAUGCGAUACACCGUAUGUGGCACAGCGAAAGCGUUAAGUAUUCCACCUGGGGAGUACGUUCGCAAGAAUGAAACUCAAAGGAAUUGACGGGGGCCCGCACAAGCGGAGGAACAUGUGGUUUAAUUCGAUGAUACGCGAGGAACCUUACCCGGGCUUGAAAUGCA